Molecule: ribosomal RNA, 442 nt
Filed under: uncultured bacterium
Lineage: Bacteria
Description: partial 16S ribosomal RNA
Rfam family: Bacterial small subunit ribosomal RNA
Source: RNAcentral
CCUACGGGUGGCAGCAGUGGGGAAUAUUGGGCAAUGGACGCAAGCCUGACCCAGCAACGCCGCGUGAAGGAAGAAGGCUUUCGGGUUGUAAACUUCUUUUAAGGGGGAAGAGCAGAAGACGGUACCCCUUGAAUAAGCCACGGCUAACUACGUGCCAGCAGCCGCGGUAAUACGUAGGUGGCAAGCGUUGUCCGGAUUUACUGGGUGUAAAGGGCGUGUAGCCGGGAAGGCAAGUCAGAUGUGAAAUCCGGAGGCUCAACCUCCGAAUUGCAUUUGAAACUGGUUUUCUUGAGUACUGGAGAGGCAGACGGAAUGCGUGGUGUAGCGGUGAAAUGCAUAGAUAUAAGGAAGAACUCCAGUGGCGAAGGCGGUCUGCUGGACAGCAACUGACGGUGAGGCGCGAAAGCGUGGGGAGCAAACAGGAUUAGAUACCCGGGUAGUC